CUGCAGCUCAAGUGGUGACCACUAUUAUUGGGCCUAAAACGUUCGUAGCCGGUUUGGUAAAUGCCUGGGUAAAUCGUGUAGCUUAACUAUACGAAUUCCGGGUAGACUGCCAAACUUGAGACCGGGAGAAGCUAGAGGUACUCCUGGGGUAGAGGUGAAAUUCUGUAAUCCUGGGGGGACCACCAGUGGCGAAGGCGUCUAGCUAGAACGGGUCUGACGGUGAGGAACGAAGCCCUGGGGCGCAAACCGGAUUAGAGACCCGCGUAGUCC
RNAcentral lists this ribosomal RNA (270 nucleotides) under uncultured archaeon. RNAcentral's name for it is "partial 16S ribosomal RNA". It matches the Rfam family "Archaeal small subunit ribosomal RNA", at positions 477 to 747 of the family's 1478-position model. The record is from RNAcentral.